This is a long non-coding RNA of Homo sapiens (human), 1223 nucleotides long. The record is from Ensembl. Lineage: Eukaryota; Metazoa; Chordata; Mammalia; Primates; Hominidae.
GGACUUUAAAAAGGAAGCAGAAAGGCCAGGAGGACGAGCUUCACUGGAGAUGUCAGAAUUUUCUCCUUCCCUGAGUUAUCUUUGGACUUAGAUGUAUAUAAAUGUAUCUGGUUGGAGGUGGGGGGAAAAGUGGAAGUGGAAGACCACAAAAGUAAAAAUUACAUUUGAGUGUAUUUCACCGAUUCUAAGAGGAAUGCUUUCUUCUGCUCCAACCACUCUGAAAUCUCCGGGUCCCAUACUCCCAUCGCAGCUGUGUGACAUGGUUGCCGUGGCCUUUGUGUGAACAUCAAAGCUCAGAGGAUGGGUGUCAGAGGCUUAGAUGAAAAUCCUGAAGACAAUUGUCUGGCACUUUUCAAAGCUAUACGGCCUCACCAAAACCCUCCUGGAAGCUCUUGAUGGCUCGAGGUUCAACAGUGUCUGGGAAGACAUGGAUAUAAAAGAUCCAGAAUCAAAGAGUGAUUCCAAAGAGUUAGAGGCUGACUGUGAAGUCUUAGGCAUACUGUAACCCAGUGAUUUACCUAUCUUUGCUUUUCUGCUCAUGCAGAAGAGUGAUAUAUGAUGAAUAAAUUCUAAGUUCAAUUAGGCCUAAAAGAGCUCUUGUAAUAUGCUUUAAAAAGUCUAAGUGAUAAAACAUUGUGACAGAUAGAGUUCUGUCAGUGUUUAUAUUUUCUUAGUCCUUCAUUAAAUAACAGUGUGUCUUACACCAAGGCAGUUUUGGAUUCCAUAAAAUAUGGUAGUAGUUAUGUUUCAUGUUUCAAUAGUCAUCAAUCUGUUUUUAAUGUAUUCAUGGAAAAAUAUGUGGGCCAUCUUGCUAUUUAACUAUUUUUGAAAUCUCAUGGAAGCCUGCCAAUGUUUUUGCAAUUUAGCUAAGAAGCUGUCUUGCUUUUUGAGAGGGGAAGUUCCAAUAUUGUAAGCCUAGGUUUCUGAAUAUAUUUUUGUUUUUUAAUAAAUGUAGAAAGAAUGUUUUUUGUUAAUCCUGGCAUUUGUCUAGAGCAAAAGCAAAAUAAAUGAAAAGUGAGGAAAAUUAAAAGGCUCACGUUAUAACAUGUGCUGUCUAGAGAAUAAAAACUCAUUUGUGCAAAGUUGGUAUGGCUUUUAUGAAAAUAUUUCAGUCCGAGCACCUUGCCUGUUUGCUGCAGUGCUGACUGACUCAUGAUUAGGGAUCUGUGUUGCCUUUAUUGCUCUCGGUUUGCCCUAUGGCUUGAUUUAUUAAUAUAUUUAAA